GUUCUCUCUGAGAACCUUCCGGGAGUUCCAGGAGUACUUGCUGCAGGAGUGAAAUCGACUGCCAAAGGACUCCUUAACUGAGUCUUGUGCAGUAGGACGUCACGCUGCGCGAUUUCUCUGGCUGUGAGAGGGGACCAUACCCCGUAUUAGACUCAUUUUCAAUUCGGUAUCACAACGUGGAUUUAGGACAUUUCCACACUAUGACCUUUACUGAGAAUCAUUGAAUGGGGUUUCGAAUUUUAUGCAGCUCCCCGUUACAGAGAUUAUUUCCCUCCUUCACUGAAUAUAUCAUCAUUUUCUUCAAUUUAUUUCGCAGGUAUUUAUUUGCAGAAAGCUAAGAAGGAAAUGGAAUCAUUUCAGCUCUCCUGUAUGAAAUAAUACAGUAUAGCUUUUCAGUAGAUGAUGCUGACUAUCUUUGCCUUGUUGUUGAAAGACCGCUAAAGAAUGGACUUGGAUUCGGUUCCAAGGGAAAGGACUAGCUGCAUAGGAUUUUGUUACUUUAUUUUCCUACAUAAAUAUGAGAUAGUUUUCCUUAAAAAGCAUGUAGGCAUUCUCAAGCGUUUCAACAUAACCAAUUAGCCGACGAACUACCUAUUCAUAUGAAUGCUGUAUUAAUCAACCAAAAGGGAAC
Long non-coding RNA from Stegodyphus dumicola, 631 nucleotides. The record is from RefSeq and is a predicted model, not a curated record. Lineage: Eukaryota; Metazoa; Arthropoda; Arachnida; Araneae; Eresidae.